This 48-nucleotide non-coding RNA is filed under the name Schistosoma mattheei. The record is from RNAcentral. Lineage: Eukaryota; Metazoa; Platyhelminthes; Trematoda; Strigeidida; Schistosomatidae.
GUCUAACUGACGAGUCUAAAAUAGGACAAAACGCGCGUCAAACUGGAU